GCUAACUUUACUUAGCAUAAUCUGCUCUAAUGCCAUCCAUUUGCCUGCAAAUGCCAUGAUUUUGUUAUUUUUUAGUACUGAGUAAUAUUCUAUUGUGUAUAAAUGCCACAUUUUUUAAUCCAUUCAUCUAUUGAAGGGCAUCUAGGUUGGUUCCACAUUCUAGCUAUUGUGAAUUGUGCUGCUAUAAACAUUGAUGUGGCUGUGUCCCUGUAGUAUGCUCUUCUUAGGUCUUUUGGGUAUAGUCCGAGAAGGGGAAUAGCUGGGUCAAAUGGUGGUUCCAUUCCCAGCUUUCCAAGGAAUCUCCAUACUCAUACUGCUUUCCAAAUUGGCUGCACCAAUUUGCAGUCCCACCAGCAAUGUAUGAGUGUACCUUCCCCCCGCAUCCUUGCCAGCACUUGUUGUUGUUUGUCUUCAUAAUGGCUGCCAUUCUUAUUGGAGUGAGAUGGUAUCUUAGAGUAGUUUUAAUUUGCAUUUCUCUGAUUGCUAGAGAUGGUGAGCAUUUUUUCAUGUAUUUGUUGAUUGGUUAUAUAUUCUCUUCUGAGAAGUUUCUGUUCAAGUCCUUGGCCCAUUUGUUGAUUGGGUUAUUUGCUUUUUUGUUGUUUAACUUUUUGAGUCCUUUGUAUACUCUAGAGAUUAGAACUCUAUCUGAUGUUUGAGGGGUAAAAAUUUGUUCCCAGGAUGUAGGCUCCCUAUUCACCUCGCAUAUUAUUUCUCUUGCUGAGAAAAAACUUUUUAGUUUGAAUUCGUCCCAUUUGUUGAUUCUUGGUUUUAACUCUUGUGCUAUAGGGUCUUAUUAAGAAAUUUGGGGCCUGCCCCCAUGUGAUGAAGGUUAGGGCCAACUUUAUCUUCUAUUAGAUGUAGAGUCUCUGGUCUGAUUCCUAGCUCCUUGAUCCAUUUUGAGUUGACUUUUGUGCAUGGUGAGAGAAAGGGAUUCAAUUUCAUUUUGUUGCAUACGGAUUUCCAGUUCUCCCAGCACCAUUUGUUGAAGAUGCUAUCCUUUCUCCAUUGCAUGGUUUUAGCACAGCCCUUUAAUAUUUUUUAUAUCAAGACAGUGUCCUGCUCAGUUGCCCAGACUGAUUUGAACUUGGGAUCCUGUCUCAGCCUCUGGAAUAACUGAGAUAUGGAUUGCGGACGUGGCUCUCCUCAUCCCGCUGGGGAGAUCUCUUUUGAAACCAGAAAUUAUCUUGUUAUUCAGCACCUUGAAUGGUGCCUGGUAUGUUGAAGAUGCUCGAUAAGUAUUUGUUGAAUGAGUAAAUGAAUGUCCCUCCCCUAAUUAGAACUUUUUUUUUUUUUUUUUUG
This 1299-nucleotide long non-coding RNA is filed under the name Marmota monax (woodchuck). Lineage: Eukaryota; Metazoa; Chordata; Mammalia; Rodentia; Sciuridae. The record is from RNAcentral.